RNAcentral lists this ribosomal RNA (497 nucleotides) under uncultured bacterium. RNAcentral describes it as "partial 16S ribosomal RNA". It matches the Rfam family "Bacterial small subunit ribosomal RNA", at positions 28 to 507 of the family's 1533-position model. The record is from RNAcentral.
GAUGAACGCUGGCGGCGUGCCUAAUACAUGCAAGUCGAGCGAACAGACGAGGAGCUUGCUCCUCUGACGUUAGCGGCGGACGGGUGAGUAACACGUGGAUAACCUACCUAUAAGACUGGGAUAACUUCGGGAAACCGGAGCUAAUACCGGAUAACAUGUUGAACCGCAUGGUUCAACAGUGAAAGACGGUCUUGCUGUCACUUAUAGAUGGAUCCGCGCCGCAUUAGCUAGUUGGUAAGGUAACGGCUUACCAAGGCAACGAUGCGUAGCCGACCUGAGAGGGUGAUCGGCCACACUGGAACUGAGACACGGUCCAGACUCCUACGGGAGGCAGCAGUAGGGAAUCUUCCGCAAUGGGCGAAAGCCUGACGGAGCAACGCUGCGUGAGUGAAGAAGGUCUUCGGAUCGUAAAACUCUGUUAUUAGGGAAGAACAAAUGUGUAAGUAACUAUGCACGUCUUGACGGUACCUAAUCAGAAAGCCACGGCUAACUACGUG